AUUGAACGCUGGCGGCAUGGCUAAAGCAUGCAAGUCGUACGAGAACCGCGCAAGCGGGGACAGUGGCGGAAGGGCGAGUAACGCGCUCCUACGUGCCCCAAGGUGGGGAGUAGGUCGGGGAAACGUCGGCGUAAUACCCCAUGUGCUCUUCGGAGGAAAGCUUUUGCGCCUCGGGAGCGGGGAGCGUCCUAUCAGGUAGUUGGAGGGGUAACGGCCCACCAAGCCAAUGACGGGUAGCGGGUGUGAGAGCACGACCCGCCGCAUCGGGACUGAGACACGGCCCAGACUCCUACGGGAGGCGAGCAGUGGGGAAUAUUGCGCAAUGGGCGUAAGCCUGACGCAGCGACGCCGCGUGGGG
This 358-nucleotide ribosomal RNA is filed under the name uncultured bacterium. RNAcentral describes it as "bacterial SSU rRNA". It matches the Rfam family "Bacterial small subunit ribosomal RNA", at positions 28 to 406 of the family's 1533-position model. The record is from RNAcentral.